Molecule: long non-coding RNA, 1499 nt
Organism: Arachis duranensis
Lineage: Eukaryota; Viridiplantae; Streptophyta; Magnoliopsida; Fabales; Fabaceae
Exons: 11
Source: RefSeq, a predicted model, not a curated record
CGCCGCCGCUCUCGUCGCGUCUGCUCCCUUGGUUGCCAUCGUUGCAGAGCUCCCUCCGCCGCUCUCGUCGUGUAUGCUCCCUUCAUUGCCGUUGUCACAGAGCUCUAUCCGCCGCCGCUCCUGUCGCGUUUGCUCCCUUAGUGAAUUUCAGGUUUAUCAAUUAUUUUACUAUCUGCGAAGAAAGAGAUUCCAGAUUGACAACAACAUAGAGAUGCCAGAGUUAUGCCCGGAAUGGUUAGCAUUGUUGAUCAUCGAGAAGGCUUGUUUAUCUUCCAUUUCUCUUUAUGAAACUUCUGGUGCUGUAUGUAAGACUGGUCAAAAUUUUAAGGAAAAACUAAGGGAGCUUGGAGGACUUGAUGCUGUCUUUGAAAUUACCUUGAAGUGCCAGUCGGAUUUGAAGGGUUAUCAAUUUUGGACUCGAACCGACAAGAAUGGUAUUUUUGUAAUCAACAAUAUUGUACCCGGUGAUUACAAUUUGUGUGCAUGGGUUCCUGGUUUUAUUGGAGACUACAAAUAUAAUAAGACAAUAACCAUCACACCAGGAUUCUCCACCAAAUCACGUUACCCCCAAUGUUGCAACCUCUUUCAUUGAGACACUUGAAGCCAAUGAUCUUCUCAAGACCACUUUAUGAAGACAGAUCAUGUGGGGAGCAAAGAAAGUCGAUGCCAAUGUCACUUCAAGAACCAUGCCUUUAGUCAAAAUGUACAAAGGAAAAUGAAUCUUGUCCUGGUGCUUUCUUAAGGAUAAUUCAACCUUUUUCCUUCAUACUCCAUAAUUUUCUCUUAAUACUACUAUAGCAAUAAAGCUAUUUUCAUUCAGUUGGGAUUUAUGUAAUAUUAAAGGUUAGGGCUGGGGCGGAGAUGGCAAUAAUUGAUGCUGUUGCAAAUAGUAUUCGUGUGCCAUUAAGGAGGCUUUUUGGUGGAGCCUCAAAUACCAUAACCACUGAUCUAACGAAACACACGUUAUGCUUCUAUUUCUAACCGUGAGAUGAUCUCACGUUCCUAAUCAACACGUCAGUGCGCUAUCAAAUGUUAAUGACAUUGUUGGAACAUUAGCUCUUGGUCAUUUUCCCUCUCCACUUUUGAGGAAGCCCUUCAUUCACUUGAAAUUUCUCUAAACCAGAUUAUAUGUUAUACCUGGUCUGGUAGUGAUACAUUGAAACUAAAAAGCAUAAGAUCUAGCCUCAGAAAACUGAAUUUAGUAGAAGAUAGAGCUAUUGCAAGGGUGAACCAUUUUGGUGUUUAUGUGAGAUAUUUCUUCAAUCUUCCUGCACCAACAGAUCAAAUUCCUACAAAUAUGACUCCUGUGAAAAUGGUAUCCACUAGCAUGGCCAAAGAAUUUGCUGGCGUAAAUGUAUGAUGGAAAUGAUAUGACAUUUGGGAUAUCAUCAAGAAUGGCUGGCCUUGUUUAAUCAUUCUGUGUGUAUUUAUGUAAAAAUUUCACAAUGAAAUUUUGAUAAUUAACUUGGCACUAUUGGCUUUGUUCUUGAUACAUUGUA